RNAcentral lists this ribosomal RNA (914 nucleotides) under uncultured Methanogenium sp. RNAcentral's name for it is "bacterial SSU rRNA". It matches the Rfam family "Archaeal small subunit ribosomal RNA", at positions 1 to 923 of the family's 1478-position model. The record is from RNAcentral. Lineage: Archaea; Methanobacteriati; Methanobacteriota; Methanomicrobia; Methanomicrobiales; Methanomicrobiaceae.
UUCCGGUUGAUCCCGCCGGAGGCCACUGCUAUCGGAGUUCGAUUAAGCCAUGCGAGUCGAGAGGGUUUAGGCCCUCGGCGGACUGCUCAGUAACACGUGGAUAACCUGCCCUAAGGUGGAGAAUAACCCCGGGAAACUGGGGAUAAUACUCCAUAGAUUAGAGAUACUGGAAUGUUCUUUAGUCAAAAGUUCUGGCGCCUUAGGAUGGAUCUGCGGUCGAUUAGGUUGUUGUUGGGGUAACGGCCCAACAAGCCUGUAAUCGAUACGGGUUGUGGGAGCAAGAGCCCGGAGAUGGAAUCUGAGACACGAUUCCAGGCCCUACGGGGCGCAGCAGGCGCGAAAACUUUACAAUGCAGGAAACUGUGAUAAGGGAACUCCGAGUGCCCGUAUACGCGGGCUGUCCAGGUGUUUAAAAGUCAUCUGAAGAAAGGGCCGGGCAAGACCGGUGCCAGCCGCCGCGGUAAUACCGGCGGCUCGAGUGGUGGCCACUAUUAUUGGGCUUAAAGGGUCCGUAGCUGGACCGAUAAGUCUCUUGGGAAAUCCGCCGGCUCAACCGGCGGGCGUCUAAGGGAUACUGUUAGUCUAGGGACCGGGAGAGGUGAGAGGUACUCCGGGGGUAGGAGUGAAAUCCUGUAAUCCCCGGGGGACCACCGAUUGCGAAGGCAUCUCACCAGAACGGCUCCGACAGUGAGGGACGAAAGCUGGGGGAGCAAACCGGAUUAGAUACCCGGGUAGUCCCAGCCGUAAACUAUGCGCGUUAGGUGUCCUGGUGACCACGAGUCACCUGGGUGCCGAAGGGAAACCGUGAAACGUGCCGCCUGGGAAGUACGGUCGCAAGGCUGAAACUUAAAGGAAUUGGCGGGGGAGCACCACAACGGGUGGAGCCUGCGGUUUAAUUGGAGUCAACGCCGGGA